GUUGAAAUGGCUGAGUAAUAAGCAGUAGCCUGUAAAGCUACCCACGAGACCCCUCUCUUUCAAUA
This 65-nucleotide transfer RNA is filed under the name Neanthes glandicincta. Its description in RNAcentral is "tRNA-Tyr". Lineage: Eukaryota; Metazoa; Annelida; Polychaeta; Phyllodocida; Nereididae. The record is from RNAcentral.